This 491-nucleotide ribosomal RNA is filed under the name uncultured bacterium. RNAcentral describes it as "partial 16S ribosomal RNA". It matches the Rfam family "Bacterial small subunit ribosomal RNA", at positions 29 to 506 of the family's 1533-position model. The record is from RNAcentral.
AGUGAACGCUGGCGGUAGGCCUAACACAUGCAAGUCGAACGGCAGCACAGUAAGAGCUUGCUCUUACGGGUGGCGAGUGGCGGACGGGUGAGGCAUACAUCGGAAUCUACUUUUUCGUGGGGGAUAACGUAGGGAAACUUACGCUAAUACCGCAUACGACCUACGGGUGAAAGCAGGGGAUCUUCGGACCUUGCGCGAUUGAAUGAGCCGAUGUCGGAUUAGCUAGUUGGCGGGGUAAGGGCCCACCAAGGCGACGAUCCGUAGCUGGUCUGAGAGGAUGAUCAGCCACACUGGAACUGAGAAACGGCCCAGACCCCUACGGGAGGCAGCAGUGGGGAAUAUUGGACAAUGGGCGCAAGCCUGAUCCAGCCAUACCGCGUGGGUGAAGAAGGCCUUCGGGUUGUAAAGCCCUUUUUUAGGGAAAGAAAAGCAGCAGGUUAAUACCCCGCUGUUCUGACGGUACCCAAAGAAUAAGCACCGGCUAACUUCGU